This 71-nucleotide transfer RNA is filed under the name archaeon. RNAcentral describes it as "tRNA-His". It matches the Rfam family "tRNA". From Rfam's summary of the family: Transfer RNA (tRNA) molecules are approximately 80 nucleotides in length. Their secondary structure includes four short double-helical elements and three loops (D, anti-codon, and T loops). Further hydrogen bonds mediate the characteristic L-shaped molecular structure. tRNAs have two regions of fundamental functional importance: the anti-codon, which is responsible for specific mRNA codon recognition, and the 3' end, to which the tRNAs corresponding amino acid is attached (by aminoacyl-tRNA synthetases). tRNAs cope with the degeneracy of the genetic code in two manners: having more than one tRNA (with a specific anti-codon) for a particular amino acid; and 'wobble' base-pairing, i.e. permitting non-standard base-pairing at the 3rd anti-codon position. The record is from RNAcentral.
AUGGUUGUAGUUUAGUGGUAGAACAUACGGUUGUGGUCCGUAAAAUGCGAGUUCGAUUCUCGCCUUCCAUC